GUCCCUCCAGCGUGUCCUGGGUCUUCCCCGUAGCCUCCUCCUGGUGGGACAUGCCUGGAACGCCUCCUGAGGGAGACGCCCAGGAAGCAUCCGGAAGAGAUGCCUGAACCACAUCAGCUGGCUCUGUGGAGGAGCAGCGGCUCUUGUCCGAGCUUCUCCUGUGUGACUGAGCUCCUCACCCUAUCUCUACGGGACCACCCAGUCACCCUGUGGAGGAAACUCAUUUCGACCACUUGUAUCCGUGAUCUUGUCCUUUCGGUCAUUACCCAAAGCUCAUGACCAUAGACGCUGCACCGAUCCACCUGUCUAUCUCAUGCUCCAUCCUCCCCUCACUUGUGAACAAGACCCAGAGAUACUUGAACUCCUCCUCUUGAGGCAGGGACUCUCCAACCACCCAGAGAGGGCAAGCCACCUUUUUCCGGUCAAGAACCAUGGUCUCGGAUUUAAAGCAGCCGAUCUUCAUCUUGUUUAGUUUUUAUUAUCAAUUUUUAGUCAUAGGUUUAGCCUACAAACGUUAAUUGCAUUUGUAUGCAUUAUACAAACUUUUUGUUUGUAUGGUUCAUGUUUUUAUUAUUUUUUGUUAACAUAACUUUGAUAAUAAUAAAAACAAUGACCAAAAUGUUGUAGUAGAUAAAAUAAAUACUGCUGUGUAGAUUGUA
Boleophthalmus pectinirostris (great blue-spotted mudskipper) is the source of this 659-nucleotide long non-coding RNA. RefSeq lists it as uncharacterized. Lineage: Eukaryota; Metazoa; Chordata; Actinopteri; Gobiiformes; Gobiidae. The transcript has 2 exons. The record is from RefSeq and is a predicted model, not a curated record.